Molecule: ribosomal RNA, 497 nt
Filed under: uncultured bacterium
Lineage: Bacteria
Description: partial 16S ribosomal RNA
Rfam family: Bacterial small subunit ribosomal RNA
Source: RNAcentral
GAUGGACGCUGGCGGCGUGCCUAAUACAUGCAAGUCGAGCGAACAGACGAGGAGCUUGCUCCUCUGACGUUAGCGGCGGACGUGUGAGUAACACGUGUAUAACCUACCUAUAAGACUGGGAUAACUUCGGGAAACCGGAUCUAAUACCGUAUAAUCUCUUGAACCGCAUGGUUCAAUAGUGAAAGACGGUUUUGCUGUCACUUAUAGAUGGAUCCGCGCCGCAUUAGCUAGUUGGUAAGGUAACGGCUUACCAAGGCAACGAUGCGUAGCCGACCUGAGAGGGUGAUAGGCCACACUGGAACUGGGACGCGGUCAAGACUCCUACGGGAGGCAGCAGAAGGGAAUCUUACGCAAUGGGCGAAAGCCUGACGGAGCAACGCCGCGUGAGUGAUGAAGGUCUUCGGAUCGUAAAACUCUGUUAUUAGGGAAGAACAAAUGUGUAAGUAACUAUGCACGUAUUGACGGUACCUAAUCAGAAAGCAACGGCUAACUACGUG